GUUGUAUGGUUAAGUGACUAAGCGUACACGGUGGAUGCCUUGGCAGUCAGAGGCGAUGAAAGACGUAGUAACUUGCGAUAAGCCCAGAUUAGGUAGUAACAACCAUUUGAGUCUGGGAUUUCUGAAUGGGGAAACCCACUUACAUAAGUAAGUAUCAUUAACUGAAUACAUAGGUUAAUGAGGCGAACCGGGGGAACUGAAACAUCUAAGUACCCCGAGGAAAAGAAAUCAACCGAGAUUCCGAAAGUAGCGGCGAGCGAAAUUGGACUAGCCCUUAAGCUUUACACGCGUUAGACGAACGGUCUGGAAAGUCCGACGAUACAGGGUGAUAGUCCCGUAGUUGACGACGUGUGUUCAGUGAAAUCGAGUAGGGCGGGACACGUGAUAUCCUGUCUGAAUAUGGGGGGACCAUCCUCCAAGGCUAAAUACUACUGACUGACCGAUAGUGAACCAGUACCGUGAGGGAAAGGCGAAAAGAACCCCUGUGAGGGGAGUGAAAUAGAACCUGAAACCGUGUACGUACAAGCAGUAGGAGCAGGCUUUGUCCUGUGACUGCGUACCUUUUGUAUAAUGGGUCAGCGACUUAUAUUCAGUGGCAAGGUUAACCAUCUAGGGGAGCCGUAGGGAAACCGAGUCUUAACUGGGCGUUCAGUCUCUGGAUAUAGACCCGAAACCAGGUGAUCUAGCCAUGGGCAGGUUGAAGGUUGAGUAACAUCAACUGGAGGACCGAACCGACUAAUGUUGAAAAAUUAGCGGAUGACUUGUGGCUAGGGGUGAAAGGCCAAUCAAACCUGGAGAUAGCUGGUUCUCCCCGAAAGCUAUUUAGGUAGCGCCUCGGACGAAUACUACUGGGGGUAGAGCACUGUUAAGGCUAGGGGGUCAUCCCGACUUACCAACCCUUUGCAAACUCCGAAUACCAGUAAGUACUAUCCGGGAGACACACGGCGGGUGCUAACGUCCGUCGUGGAGAGGGAAACAACCCAGACCGCCAGCUAAGGUCCCAAAUUACUACUAAGUGGGAAACGAUGUGGGAAGGCUCAGACAGCCAGGAUGUUGGCUUAGAAGCAGCCAUCAUUUAAAGAAAGCGUAAUAGCUCACUGGUCGAGUCGGCCUGCGCGGAAGAUGUAACGGGGCUAAGUAGUAAACCGAAGCUGCGGCAAUAUACUUUUGUAUAUUGGGUAGGGGAGCGUUCUGUAAGCGGUUGAAGGUGUGUGGUAACGCAUGCUGGACGUAUCAGAAGUGCGAAUGCUGACAUGAGUAACGAUAAAGGGGGUGAAAAACCUCCUCGCCGGAAGACCAAGGGUUCCUGUCCAACGUUAAUCGGGGCAGGGUAAGUCGACCCCUAAGGCGAGGCCGAAAGGCGUAGUCGAUGGGAAACGGGUUAAUAUUCCCGUACUUCUUACAAUUGCGAUGGGGGGACGGAGAAGGCUAGGUGGGCCUGGCGACGGUUGUCCAGGUUCAAGUGCGUAGGCUUAAGAGUUAGGUAAAUCCGGCUCUUUUUAAGGCUGAGACACGACGUCGAGCACCUACGGGUGUGAAGUCAUUGAUGCCAUGCUUCCAGGAAAAGCCUCUAAGCUUCAGAUUGUAAGGAAUCGUACCCCAAACCGACACAGGUGGUCGGGUAGAGAAUACCAAGGCGCUUGAGAGAACUCGGGUGAAGGAACUAGGCAAAAUGGUACCGUAACUUCGGGAGAAGGUACGCUCUUGAUGGUGAAGUCCCUCGCGGAUGGAGCUAUUGAGAGUCGCAGAUACCAGGUGGCUGCAACUGUUUAUUAAAAACACAGCACUGUGCAAAAUCGUAAGAUGACGUAUACGGUGUGACGCCUGCCCGGUGCCGGAAGGUUAAUUGAUGGGGUUAGACUUCGGUCGAAGCUCUUGAUCGAAGCCCCGGUAAACGGCGGCCGUAACUAUAACGGUCCUAAGGUAGCGAAAUUCCUUGUCGGGUAAGUUCCGACCUGCACGAAUGGCGUAAUGAUGGCCACGCUGUCUCCACCCGAGACUCAGUGAAAUUGAAAUCGCUGUGAAGAUGCAGUGUACCCGCGGCUAGACGGAAAGACCCCGUGAACCUUUACUACAGCUUGGCACUGAACAUUGACCCUACAUGUGUAGGAUAGGUGGGAGGCUUUGAAGCACGUACGCCAGUAUGUGUGGAGCCGUCCUUGAAAUACCACCCUUGUAGUGUUGAUGUUCUAACGUCGACCCCUAAUCGGGGUUGCGGACAGUGCCUGGUGGGUAGUUUGACUGGGGCGGUCUCCUCCCAAAGAGUAACGGAGGAGCACGAAGGUGGGCUAAUCACGGUUGGACAUCGUGAGGUUAGUGCAAUGGCAUAAGCCCGCUUGACUGCGAGAAUGACAAUUCGAGCAGGUGCGAAAGCAGGUCAUAGUGAUCCGGUGGUUCUGAAUGGAAGGGCCAUCGCUCAACGGAUAAAAGGUACUCCGGGGAUAACAGGCUGAUACCGCCCAAGAGUUCAUAUCGACGGCGGUGUUUGGCACCUCGAUGUCGGCUCAUCACAUCCUGGGGCUGAAGUCGGUCCCAAGGGUAUGGCUGUUCGCCAUUUAAAGUGGUACGCGAGCUGGGUUUAGAACGUCGUGAGACAGUUCGGUCCCUAUCUGCCGUGGGCGUUGGAAGAUUGAAGGGGGCUGCUCCUAGUACGAGAGGACCGGAGUGGACGAACCUCUGGUGUUCGGGUUGUGUCGCCAGACGCAUUGCCCGGUAGCUAAGUUCGGAAUCGAUAACCGCUGAAAGCAUCUAAGCGGGAAGCGAGCCCUGAGAUGAGUCUUCCCUGAUACUUUAAGUAUCCUAAAGGGUUGUCGGAGACUACGACGUUGAUAGGUCAGGUGUGUAAGUGCUGUGAGGCAUUGAGCUAACUGAUACUAAUUGCCCGUGAGGCUUAACCAUACAACACCCAAGGGGUUU
RNAcentral lists this ribosomal RNA (2916 nucleotides) under Vibrio parahaemolyticus. RNAcentral describes it as "23S ribosomal RNA". It matches the Rfam family "Bacterial large subunit ribosomal RNA". The record is from RNAcentral. Lineage: Bacteria; Pseudomonadati; Pseudomonadota; Gammaproteobacteria; Vibrionales; Vibrionaceae.